UAAAUUUUGAAUCUAAGAAAA
RNAcentral lists this non-coding RNA (21 nucleotides) under Caenorhabditis elegans. The record is from RNAcentral. Lineage: Eukaryota; Metazoa; Nematoda; Chromadorea; Rhabditida; Rhabditidae.